AUUGAACGCUGGCGGCAUGCCUUACACAUGCAAGUCGAACGGUAACGGGCCUUCGGGUGCCGACGAGUGGCGCACGGGUGAGUAAUACAUCGGAACGUGCCCGAUCGCGGGGGAUAACGAGGCGAAAGCUUUGCUAAUACCGCAUACGAUCUACGGAUGAAAGCAGGGGACCGCAAGGCCUUGCGCGGACGGAGCGGCCGAUGGCAGAUUAGGUAGUUGGUGGGAUAAAAGCUUACCAAGCCGACGAUCUGUAGCUGGUCUGAGAGGAUGAUCAGCCACACUGGGACUGAGACACGGCCCAGACUCCUACGGGAGGCAGCAGUGGGGAAUUUUGGACAAUGGGCGCAAGCCUGAUCCAGCCAUGCCGCGUGCAGGAUGAAGGCCUUCGGGUUGUAAACUGCUUUUGUACGGAACGAAAAGCCUUCUUUUAAUACAGGAGGGUCAUGACGGUACCGUAAGAAUAAGCACCGGCUAACUACGUG
This 482-nucleotide ribosomal RNA is filed under the name uncultured bacterium. Its description in RNAcentral is "partial 16S ribosomal RNA". It matches the Rfam family "Bacterial small subunit ribosomal RNA", at positions 30 to 507 of the family's 1533-position model. The record is from RNAcentral.